GUUACAUAUGGGAGGAUUAGAGCUGCAUAUUUCAUAUUCAAGCUUAUGUUGUUGUCAUACAUGCAGAUCAAUUCUUCUAUGUUUGAGUGCAUGGCGAUUGGAUCUGAAAAUUUGAGAUUUUCAUUCAUUUAUUUCAUGGCUUUCGCUCAAAGAGGACUGCAUGCAUAAGAGCAUCUGAUGAUUUUUGGCUAAGAGUCCCAGCUCAAAGAGGACUGCUGUUAUUGGAAAUUAGGGUUUGGAGAAGCUAUCUUGAAGAAAUUCUAGGCCAUUGACUCACAAGUGUAGCUGGGUCACAUGCAUUUCACUCAACUCGAAGAAGCUAAAACCGUCUACAUGACAGCUCCCACGCGGGCCUCGUUCCUAACAUCACAGUGCACCCCACCUGAUGAAUGGACUAACCCUUGCCUAAUUGGUAAUCUGGACCUAAUUUGCUGAAUGCUUGCUUGAAUUACAGAAUCACAUCGCCAUUGGAAAGUUAACUUGAUAAGCUAAAACUGAUUUAUUUAUUUAUUUAUUUAUUUUUUAUAGCUUGAGUGAUGUUUAACCUUUGAACUAUAGCCAUGCUCUUUGUUGACAAAAAAUGGAUAACCACCUUGAUUAUUGUCAGCAACAAGCCUUUUGAGGCAAAUAUCUGUAGAAUGAUAAAACCAUGAAGUCAUCGACUUGGGUUUCAUCUUGGACCCCUAACAUUGUUUCACGAGAACCCUUGGCCAAGCCUGCAUCACAGGUGAGUGAUGUAUCCGUCAAAUUCACUUAAAAUUUGCUUCUAGGAAUAGAUUCACAUAGAGAAGCCUCCAUUAAGUUGUGUUUAUAGGUUUUAGGUUUUCCAGAAGACAAAAUC
Molecule: long non-coding RNA, 841 nt
Organism: Magnolia sinica
Lineage: Eukaryota; Viridiplantae; Streptophyta; Magnoliopsida; Magnoliales; Magnoliaceae
Exons: 3
Source: RefSeq, a predicted model, not a curated record